Molecule: long non-coding RNA, 498 nt
Organism: Tripterygium wilfordii
Lineage: Eukaryota; Viridiplantae; Streptophyta; Magnoliopsida; Celastrales; Celastraceae
Exons: 3
Source: RefSeq, a predicted model, not a curated record
GUUUCUUUGGUCGAUCCGGCCGAUUCCGGCGACGGUUUGGCUUGAUUCAGACGGUGACCCAGAUUGAAAUUCGGAGCGAGUUGACUUCGAAGUCGGGGGUUAAUCAGGGACUCGUGCUUGGUAUCGGUAUUCCGAUUUUCAGGUGAGUUCGGUGCAGGAGAUGGUGGUCAGUGACGGGUUGCGUGAGCUGAUGUGUAGCCUCGAGCCGACUAUUCUAGUAGGGGCAUGGAUAUUGGUAUUGUAUUUUGUGUAUAUUACAUGGUUUGGUAUCGAGUGGAUAUAUUCCACUGAUCCGCUGUUGUAUAUUUACUCCAGUGGUUAUUACUCUUAUUAUUACUACAUAUGUUUAUUGGUUUUAAUUAUCGGUUUGGGAAUUGGUUCGGGGGAUGGGGUGUCCCCUGCCGGUCACGUCUCUGUGGAUAUAGGUACACUUUGGUAUACCUUAGGAGAGAGGGGCGUGACACAUUGCUUGUUGGGAAACAUAUUGAUGUUGAUACA